Molecule: long non-coding RNA, 279 nt
Organism: Magallana angulata
Lineage: Eukaryota; Metazoa; Mollusca; Bivalvia; Ostreida; Ostreidae
Exons: 3
Source: RefSeq, a predicted model, not a curated record
UUUAGAUAAUGUGAUUAUAAAAAUAGCGGGUGAGUUUCACACAGUGCACAUAAUCUAUUGCUGCAUCAAGAAGAGAGUCAUAAGGUACGAUGGAGGUAGCCAAUUUCAAAGUCCUGAUCACUGUUCUUCUCAUCUGCGGACUAAUGACAUGUCAUAUCGCGUCUGGAAUUUGGGCCAGUCGAAAUGGUGUAUAUUUGAAAAAGAGAAACGCACAGACGUGUGAUGCGUGUCGCUUUGGUGACAAAGGGAGAAACUUAAUGGAAAAGAACCAAAAAAGGG